CUUCUUUGAUUCUUUCUUACUUUUGCUUACAGAAAAACUGGAACCUCUUCAGCGUUAAUGUUGCUAUGGCAGGGACAGGCAUAUACCAGCUUGCUCGUAAAAUAAAGCACGAUUUCGCAACCGAAGCUGAGCCAGCUGUUGCGAACGAAUGAUUAUGAUGACGAAGCUGAGCACAUUCAAAAGGAAAACUGGAUAUCAUCUUGCUUCUGUUUGAAAGUUUAGUCCAAGAUAUUUUAUUUUCUUUGCAUUCCCAGAUCUUCUGGGUCGGAUUACAAUAUCGUUUUCAAGGUUUUUAAAGUAUUCUGGUUUGAUCUUUGUUCCAAUGAUAAAAGGAGAUCAAAAGCUCCCCUUCAUAUGCUGUUUUCAAAGUAAAAAGUACUCCACAGAGAAGUUAAAUGUAUGUGAUGUUGAAUCAAAUUGUUCAGACAAAAAGACCAGAAAUUUCCUAUGAA
Non-coding RNA from Camelina sativa (false flax), 452 nucleotides. Lineage: Eukaryota; Viridiplantae; Streptophyta; Magnoliopsida; Brassicales; Brassicaceae. The record is from RefSeq and is a predicted model, not a curated record.